This 506-nucleotide ribosomal RNA is filed under the name Vibrio aestuarianus. Its description in RNAcentral is "bacterial SSU rRNA". It matches the Rfam family "Bacterial small subunit ribosomal RNA", at positions 57 to 550 of the family's 1533-position model. The record is from RNAcentral. Lineage: Bacteria; Pseudomonadati; Pseudomonadota; Gammaproteobacteria; Vibrionales; Vibrionaceae.
GCAAGUCGAGCGGUAACAUUUCAAAAGCUUGCUUUUGAAGAUGACGAGCGGCGGACGGGUGAGUAAUGCCUAGGAAAUUGCCCUGAUGUGGGGGAUAACCAUUGGAAACGAUGGCUAAUACCGCAUGAUGCCUACGGGCCAAAGAGGGGGACCUUCGGGCCUCUCGCGUCAGGAUAUGCCUAGGUGGGAUUAGCUAGUUGGUGAGGUAAUGGCUCACCAAGGCGACGAUCCCUAGCUGGUCUGAGAGGAUGAUCAGCCACACUGGAACUGAGACACGGUCCAGACUCCUACGGGAGGCAGCAGUGGGGAAUAUUGCACAAUGGGCGCAAGCCUGAUGCAGCCAUGCCGCGUGUAUGAAGAAGGCCUUCGGGUUGUAAAGUACUUUCAGUCGUGAGGAAGGUGGUGUUGUUAAUAGCAGCAUCMUUUGACGUUAGCGACAGAAGAAGCACCGGCUAACUCCGUGCCAGCAGCCGCGGUAAUACGGAGGGUGCGAGCGUUAAUCGGAA